RNAcentral lists this ribosomal RNA (588 nucleotides) under Inocybe subporospora. RNAcentral's name for it is "eukaryotic LSU rRNA". The stretch from base 241 to 394 matches the Rfam family "5.8S ribosomal RNA". The record is from RNAcentral. Lineage: Eukaryota; Fungi; Basidiomycota; Agaricomycetes; Agaricales; Inocybaceae.
GGAAGGAUCAUUAUCGAAUAAACUUGAACAGGCUGUUUGCUGGUCCACUCGUGGGCAUGUGCACGCUUGUCAUCUUUAUCAUUUCUCCAACUGUGCACCUCUUGUAGACCCUGGGGCUUGUUUGAACACAAAUUUCUGUUUUCGAGUUGGGACUGCCAUUUGGCUUUGCCCUUGCAUCUCCAGGUCUAUGUUUUCACAAAACUUGUUUAGAAUGUGUUGGCAAUAAUAAUAAAGUUAUACAACUUUCAGCAACGGAUCUCUUGGCUCUCGCAUCGAUGAAGAACGCAGCGAAAUGCGAUAAGUAAUGUGAAUUGCAGAAUUCAGUGAAUCAUCGAAUCUUUGAACGCAUCUUGCGCUCCUUGGUAUUCCGAGGAGCAUGCCUGUUUGAGUGUCAUUUCAACUUCUCAACCACACCGGAUUUUUUUUCGAAGUGGCUUGGACAAUGGGGGGUUUUGCUGGCUUUUCUUCAAAGUCAGCUCCUCUGAAACAUAUUAGUGGUAUCUGAGCGGAACUGCUAGGUGUGAUAAUUUAUCUAUGCCUUUGGUGUUCUGCAUGAACAGAUUGUGCUGCUUCUAACAUGAGAAACAC